UUACGGCUAUAUCUCGUUGAAUCGCCUGCUCUUGUACGAUCACCAAAGUUAAACAACGUUGAGUCUGAUCAGUACCUCGAUGGGUCACGGCUUGGGAAAACCAGGGGUUGUAA
Molecule: non-coding RNA, 113 nt
Organism: Acanthosepion pharaonis
Lineage: Eukaryota; Metazoa; Mollusca; Cephalopoda; Sepiida; Sepiidae
Source: the annotation of a GenBank genome assembly